RNAcentral lists this ribosomal RNA (2903 nucleotides) under Escherichia coli. RNAcentral describes it as "bacterial LSU rRNA". It matches the Rfam family "Bacterial large subunit ribosomal RNA". Lineage: Bacteria; Pseudomonadati; Pseudomonadota; Gammaproteobacteria; Enterobacterales; Enterobacteriaceae. The record is from RNAcentral.
UUAAGCGACUAAGCGUACACGGUGGAUGCCCUGGCAGUCAGAGGCGAUGAAGGACGUGCUAAUCUGCGAUAAGCGUCGGUAAGGUGAUAUGAACCGUUAUAACCGGCGAUUUCCGAAUGGGGAAACCCAGUGUGUUUCGACACACUAUCAUUAACUGAAUCCAUAGGUUAAUGAGGCGAACCGGGGGAACUGAAACAUCUAAGUACCCCGAGGAAAAGAAAUCAACCGAGAUUCCCCCAGUAGCGGCGAGCGAACGGGGAGGAGCCCAGAGCCUGAAUCAGUGUGUGUGUUAGUGGAAGCGUCUGGAAAGGCGCGCGAUACAGGGUGACAGCCCCGUACACAAAAAUGCACAUACUGUGAGCUCGAUGAGUAGGGCGGGACACGUGGUAUCCUGUCUGAAUAUGGGGGGACCAUCCUCCAAGGCUAAAUACUCCUGACUGACCGAUAGUGAACCAGUACCGUGAGGGAAAGGCGAAAAGAACCCCGGCGAGGGGAGUGAAAAAGAACCUGAAACCGUGUACGUACAAGCAGUGGGAGCCUCUUUAUGGGGUGACUGCGUACCUUUUGUAUAAUGGGUCAGCGACUUAUAUUCUGUAGCAAGGUUAACCGAAUAGGGGAGCCGAAGGGAAACCGAGUCUUAACUGGGCGUUAAGUUGCAGGGUAUAGACCCGAAACCCGGUGAUCUAGCCAUGGGCAGGUUGAAGGUUGGGUAACACUAACUGGAGGACCGAACCGACUAAUGUUGAAAAAUUAGCGGAUGACUUGUGGCUGGGGGUGAAAGGCCAAUCAAACCGGGAGAUAGCUGGUUCUCCCCGAAAGCUAUUUAGGUAGCGCCUCGUGAAUUCAUCUCCGGGGGUAGAGCACUGUUUCGGCAAGGGGGUCAUCCCGACUUACCAACCCGAUGCAAACUGCGAAUACCGGAGAAUGUUAUCACGGGAGACACACGGCGGGUGCUAACGUCCGUCGUGAAGAGGGAAACAACCCAGACCGCCAGCUAAGGUCCCAAAGUCAUGGUUAAGUGGGAAACGAUGUGGGAAGGCCCAGACAGCCAGGAUGUUGGCUUAGAAGCAGCCAUCAUUUAAAGAAAGCGUAAUAGCUCACUGGUCGAGUCGGCCUGCGCGGAAGAUGUAACGGGGCUAAACCAUGCACCGAAGCUGCGGCAGCGACGCUUAUGCGUUGUUGGGUAGGGGAGCGUUCUGUAAGCCUGUGAAGGUGUACUGUGAGGUAUGCUGGAGGUAUCAGAAGUGCGAAUGCUGACAUAAGUAACGAUAAAGCGGGUGAAAAGCCCGCUCGCCGGAAGACCAAGGGUUCCUGUCCAACGUUAAUCGGGGCAGGGUGAGUCGACCCCUAAGGCGAGGCCGAAAGGCGUAGUCGAUGGGAAACAGGUUAAUAUUCCUGUACUUGGUGUUACUGCGAAGGGGGGACGGAGAAGGCUAUGUUGGCCGGGCGACGGUUGUCCCGGUUUAAGCGUGUAGGCUGGUUUUCCAGGCAAAUCCGGAAAAUCAAGGCUGAGGCGUGAUGACGAGGCACUACGGUGCUGAAGCAACAAAUGCCCUGCUUCCAGGAAAAGCCUCUAAGCAUCAGGUAACAUCAAAUCGUACCCCAAACCGACACAGGUGGUCAGGUAGAGAAUACCAAGGCGCUUGAGAGAACUCGGGUGAAGGAACUAGGCAAAAUGGUGCCGUAACUUCGGGAGAAGGCACGCUGAUAUGUAGGUGAAGCGACUUGCUCGUGGAGCUGAAAUCAGUCGAAGAUACCAGCUGGCUGCAACUGUUUAUUAAAAACACAGCACUGUGCAAACACGAAAGUGGACGUAUACGGUGUGACGCCUGCCCGGUGCCGGAAGGUUAAUUGAUGGGGUUAGCGGUAACGCGAAGCUCUUGAUCGAAGCCCCGGUAAACGGCGGCCGUAACUAUAACGGUCCUAAGGUAGCGAAAUUCCUUGUCGGGUAAGUUCCGACCUGCACGAAUGGCGUAAUGAUGGCCAGGCUGUCUCCACCCGAGACUCAGUGAAAUUGAACUCGCUGUGAAGAUGCAGUGUACCCGCGGCAAGACGGAAAGACCCCGUGAACCUUUACUAUAGCUUGACACUGAACAUUGAGCCUUGAUGUGUAGGAUAGGUGGGAGGCUUUGAAGUGUGGACGCCAGUCUGCAUGGAGCCGGCCUUGAAAUACCACCCUUUAAUGUUUGAUGUUCUAACGUUGGCCCCUGAUCGGGGUUGCGGACAGUGUCUGGUGGGUAGUUUGACUGGGGCGGUCUCCUCCUAAAGAGUAACGGAGGAGCACGAAGGUUGGCUAAUCCUGGUCGGACAUCAGGAGGUUAGUGCAAUGGCAUAAGCCAGCUUGACUGCGAGCGUGACGGCGCGAGCAGGUGCGAAAGCAGGUCAUAGUGAUCCGGUGGUUCUGAAUGGAAGGGCCAUCGCUCAACGGAUAAAAGGUACUCCGGGGAUAACAGGCUGAUACCGCCCAAGAGUUCAUAUCGACGGCGGUGUUUGGCACCUCGAUGUCGGCUCAUCACAUCCUGGGGCUGAAGUAGGUCCCAAGGGUAUGGCUGUUCGCCAUUUAAAGUGGUACGCGAGCUGGGUUUAGAACGUCGUGAGACAGUUCGGUCCCUAUCUGCCGUGGGCGCUGGAGAACUGAGGGGGGCUGCUCCUAGUACGAGAGGACCGGAGUGGACGCAUCACUGGUGUUCGGGUUGUCAUGCCAAUGGCACUGCCCGGUAGCUAAAUGCGGAAGAGAUAAGUGCUGAAAGCAUCUAAGCACGAAACUUGCCCCGAGAUGAGUUCUCCCUGAGACUUUAAGUCUCCUGAAGGAACGUUGAAGACGACGACGUUGAUAGGCCGGGUGUGUAAGCGCAGCGAUGCGUUGAGCUAACCGGUACUAAUGAACCGUGAGACUUAACCUU